RNAcentral lists this ribosomal RNA (406 nucleotides) under Antarctonemertes riesgoae. RNAcentral describes it as "partial 16S ribosomal RNA". It matches the Rfam family "Bacterial large subunit ribosomal RNA", at positions 1860 to 2564 of the family's 2925-position model. Lineage: Eukaryota; Metazoa; Nemertea; Enopla; Monostilifera; Oerstediidae. The record is from RNAcentral.
UGCUCAGUGUUUAUAAAUAGCCGCAGUAAUUUGACUGUGCAAAGGUAGCAUAAUCAUUUGCCUUAUAAUUGAGGGCUAGUAUGAAUGGAUUAACGAGAGUUUUUCUGUCUCUAAUCUAUAAUAAUAACUUGUAUUUAAUGUGAAGAUACAUUAAUUUUUUAGUGGGACAAGAAGACCCUUUUGAGCUUUAUUUAGAUUUUUUUUUUUAAAAAAUUUUAAUUUGGUUGGGGCGACCUGUGAAGAUUAAAAUUUUUAGAUCUUCUUUUGAUAAUAAAGAACCAUUAAUUUUGGGUUUCAGAUUAAGUUACCAAAGGGAUAACAGCGUAAUUUUUUUUUAGAGUUCUUAUUAAAAAAAAAGAUUGCGACCUCGAUGUUGACUUAUGAUUUCCUUUUGGUGCAGUAGCUU